UCCUAUGGCCAUGCCAUCCUGAACACACUGGAUCUUGUCUGAUCUCAGAAGCUAAGCAGGCUCAGGCCUGGUUAGUACUUGAAUGGGAGACCACCUAGGAAUACCAGGUGCUGUAGGCU
RNAcentral lists this ribosomal RNA (119 nucleotides) under Pteropus alecto (black flying fox). Lineage: Eukaryota; Metazoa; Chordata; Mammalia; Chiroptera; Pteropodidae. The record is from RNAcentral.